RNAcentral lists this ribosomal RNA (534 nucleotides) under uncultured fungus. RNAcentral describes it as "eukaryotic LSU rRNA". The stretch from base 173 to 326 matches the Rfam family "5.8S ribosomal RNA". The record is from RNAcentral. Lineage: Eukaryota; Fungi.
GGGUCUUCAUGGCCCGACCUCCACCCUCUGUUGUUAAAACUACCUUGUUGCUUUGGCGGGACCGUCUCGGUCUCCGAGCGCACUAACCCUCGGGUUGGUGAGCGCCCGCCAGAGUCCAACCAAACUCUUGUAUUAAACCAGUCGUCUGAGUAUAAAAUUUUAAUUAAAUUAAAACUUUCAACAACGGAUCUCUUGGUUCUCGCAUCGAUGAAGAACGCAGCGAAAUGCGAUAAGUAAUGUGAAUUGCAGAAUUCAGUGAAUCAUCGAAUCUUUGAACGCACAUUGCGCCCCUUGGUAUUCCGAGGGGCAUGCCUGUUCGAGCGUCAUUACACCACUCAAGCAUCGCUUGGUAUUGGGAACGGUCCGUCGAAAGGCGGGCCUUCCUCGAAGACCUCGGCGGGGUUCAACCAACUUCGGGCGUAGUAGAGUUAAAUCGAACGUCUUAUAAGCUUGGUCGGAUCUCAUUGCCGUUAAACCUUUAAAUUUUCUAGGUUGACCUCGGAUCAGGUAGGGAUACCCGCUGAACUUAAGCAU